GCCAGGAGCCAUACCAGUUGCAGUUCAGACUAGGUAACUUCCUGAAGCUAAGCAGGUUUGGGCCUGGUCAGUACUUGGAUGGGAGACCAACUCGGAAGGCUGGGAUCCUGCUGGAA
This 116-nucleotide ribosomal RNA is filed under the name Paramormyrops kingsleyae. Lineage: Eukaryota; Metazoa; Chordata; Actinopteri; Osteoglossiformes; Mormyridae. The record is from RNAcentral.